This is a long non-coding RNA of Rosa chinensis, 904 nucleotides long. RefSeq lists it as uncharacterized. The transcript has 2 exons. Lineage: Eukaryota; Viridiplantae; Streptophyta; Magnoliopsida; Rosales; Rosaceae. The record is from RefSeq and is a predicted model, not a curated record.
UUGUGGGGAUGCACUGAACACCUACAAACUUGGUCAAAUUGAUUUGAAUAUCAAAUCAUUCCAAAUUCAAACUGGAGUCAUCCCCAACUCUACCUCAUCCAUUACUCUCCUAUAAAAAGAGGGGCAGAGGACAAAAAAAACACUACAGAGGGCAGAGGAAAAAAAAAGAAAUACAGAGAGAAUAAGAGAAAUACAAAGCAGAGGAGGAGACGCAGCAAAACGAAACAGAGAAGAAGAGCUACCAGAGAAAGAAAGCUGCAGAGUUCUUCGUCGAAAUGACACUGUUGCUGCUCUCCAAUUCUUAACGCAAUGAAACAAAACGGUUGUUCACGAACGGCCUCGUUUCAAUGCUCAAAAUUCCUCCCGAAUGGUGUUGUAAAUUUAAUGCAUUGGAGAAUUUGGUUGUUCAUGAACAGCCGUAUUCCAAUGCUAAAUCCUCAAAAAAAAAAGACGCUGCUGCCAUCGCUCUUUAAACAUAAUAGAGGUUGUUUAUAAACAGCCGCGUUUAAUGCUAAAGAGCCCCCCUCACAUGGCGUCAUUGCUAUCGCUGUUUGAUGACCAAGAUAAGGCCGUUCACGAACGACCUCAAAAGUCCAUCAGUUGUUCUCUGUCUUCACAAAGAACAGACAGAGAAAAUGAAGUUGAAUAUUCAAGUCAGAAAUUGAAGGCCACAACAGAGUGGUCAAGUUGCACUAAUAUGAUGGACUUCAAACAUUUCCUAAGGCAAGCCGCUGGGAAUUAGAAGAAAAAAAUGUUUUGCAAAGUUGUGGGGUUUCAAUUAAACCAACAGAAGCACAUGGAAGAUGAUAAGUCUGGAGCGGCAAUUUUUGUCCUAACCAAGCUUGAACCAUGAUUGAUCUCCAUGAUUAUCCUUGAGAAGCCAUGUUUCAUGUUCUUUUGCUCA